CGGGUGAGUAACGCGUGGGCAAUCUGCCUUGUAGAAAGGGAUAACAGGCCGAAAGGCUUGCUAAUACCGGAUGAGCUUGUCUAAUCGCAUGAUAAGACAAGGAAAGGGGAAACCCGCUACAAGAUGAGCCUGCGUCCCAUUAGCUAGUUGGUGAGAUAACAGCCCACCAAGGCGACGAUGGGUAGCCGGCCUGAGAGGGUGACCGGCCACAUUGGAACUGAGAAACGGUCCAG
RNAcentral lists this ribosomal RNA (233 nucleotides) under uncultured Bacillota bacterium. RNAcentral's name for it is "uncultured Firmicutes bacterium partial 16S ribosomal RNA". It matches the Rfam family "Bacterial small subunit ribosomal RNA", at positions 103 to 334 of the family's 1533-position model. Lineage: Bacteria; Bacillati; Bacillota. The record is from RNAcentral.